GCCCCAGUAGCUCAGUCGGAUAGAGCGGGCGCCUUCUAAGCGCUAGGCCACGGGUUCGAAUCCUGUCUGGGGCGCCA
Molecule: transfer RNA, 77 nt
Filed under: Chloroflexota bacterium
Lineage: Bacteria; Bacillati; Chloroflexota
Also listed under: 2 other names
Description: tRNA-Arg
Rfam family: tRNA
About the family: Transfer RNA (tRNA) molecules are approximately 80 nucleotides in length. Their secondary structure includes four short double-helical elements and three loops (D, anti-codon, and T loops).
Source: RNAcentral